CGUAGGGUGCGAGCGUUAAUCGGAAUUACUGGGCGUAAAGCGUGCGCAGGCGGUUUUGUAAGACAGAUGUGAAAUCCCCGGGCUCAACCUGGGACCUGCAUUUGUGACUGCAAGGCUAGAGUACGGUAGGGGGGGAUGGAAUUCCGCGUGUAGCAGUGAAAUGCGUAGAUAUGCGGAGGAACACCGAUGGCGAAGGCAAUCCCCUGGACCUGUACUGACGCUCAUGCACGAAAGCGUGGGGAGCAAACAGGAUUAGAUACCCUGGUAGUCCACGCCCUAAACGAUGUCAACUGGUUGUUGGGUCUUUACUGACUCAGUAACGAAGCUAACGCGUGAAGUUGACCGCCUGGGGAGUACGGCCGCAAGGUUG
This 370-nucleotide ribosomal RNA is filed under the name uncultured organism. RNAcentral's name for it is "bacterial SSU rRNA". It matches the Rfam family "Bacterial small subunit ribosomal RNA", at positions 526 to 896 of the family's 1533-position model. The record is from RNAcentral.